UAUGAAGUACUUAGGUCCAGGAGAUCUGUUUGGAAAAACCAGUGAAGUAAUCAUAAGGACAAUUCUAGGAACAAAAUAUUUAUGCACCCCUAUUUUUUGAUGACUUAGACUCAUUAAGGAAUUUCAGCACAAAUGCACAAUUUUCUCAACAAAUAUUAUAAAAAAGAUACUGAAAAGGAUGGGAGAAGAGAAACAAUUGGGGAAAUAAGCAUUUGUAAGAACAUAAAAUGUUAAGAAAAGCUAAACACAUGAGAGUAUUUUAUUAACGCUUUCGUUCCCAUAAAGUAGGAGUUGAGGUCUAACAAGAAUGUUAAACAUUAAAGCUAAAAUUUAAAAUUUGAGAUAAGAGAAAUCAAAUUGAAAAUAAAGGCUAAAACCAAAUUCUAAAACGUCUGUAAAGAAGCAGUAAAAGUUUCAGGCAAAAUGACAAAACCCAAUGGGAUGAGAGCCUGAAGCUGUUAUUCUAGAUGAGAUUAAGGAUAAGGAAGAAUUAAGAGCUAAAAAUAUGGAAGUAAGAAAAAGCUUAAAGGGGAAAAUUGUGAGAAAAUUUGAAAUAUCAUAGAAGAUAAGUCAUUCUGACAUAUUACCAGAAUUAUUCUUCAAAAUGGAAUAAUCCUAUGAUGAUUUGUAAAAUGGCCAUUCUUUAAAAAAUUUUACAUUGCAGUUACAGAAGGAUGAUUCGCUUGUAGUGGGGUGGGCCAUUGGAUAGUGAAAGGCAGGUCAGGGGUGUCAAGGUGCCCCAACCCAGUAUGUGCAGAUGGGAUGGUGGGAUCUAGGUAGACCCAUGAUGAGAACAGAGGGGACAACAUGGAGUCUUGUUGGAAAGGCAGACUUUGUGAUAGCUCUUGCUUGAUUUUAUAUCUUGGUGGACCAUCAGAUUCUGAUUUUAAUGCAAAUACAUUCCAUUCCUUUAAAUAUAUACACUCUCUUCCAUAUGUAUUAUAAAUAAAAAAGAACUUAUUUAGAAUAGCUCUGGGCUCACUCAUGUUUUUGUAUAUUACUGUAUCCUUUUGGAGCUGUUCUCCAAACUCUAGAGGCACCAUUCAGACAGAAGAAAUCAAUUUCAGACACGAUGGGAUAACAGUUUUCAACUCACUGGGCUGCAAGUUUGCAGGUAUCUAAUAGAUUUACUUUCUAGAUGAUAGGCUUGGAUGGGCUUCUCACAGGGACAAAGAGGACCAGAGAAUUUAAGAGCCUGCUCAGCCAUGCUUCUUGCCCUGAGCCUGGAGCGCAGGCAUUGCCUUGGCAAUUCUCCCUGGAAGGCAGGAAUCCCACCAUGGAGAAUCAACAUGUGGCCAAUCACUGUUCUUUAUGAAUGUACUUCCUUCGGGUGGAUGAGAAUAACCACAGGAAAUCAUCAUUGAAUAGUAGCUUUAACACAGACUCCUAUAGAAUGGAUAAAUACCUUCUGUCAAGAACACUGCUCCGGGGCACGAAUCCCACUAAAGAGUUGGCUUCAGACACUGGGAACUAUCAAGCAGGUCUCUGGAAAAAUUGUAGAGAAAUUAUCAGUCCUUCACCUGACUUUAAAGGACCCUUCAGUUUGUAGAAGGGGCUCAGAAAAAGAGCUGAUGCAGGUCUUGGCACUGUGCCAGUCAUAGAUGAAGGU
RNAcentral lists this long non-coding RNA (1609 nucleotides) under Homo sapiens (human). Its description in RNAcentral is "HSALNT0130236". Lineage: Eukaryota; Metazoa; Chordata; Mammalia; Primates; Hominidae. The record is from RNAcentral.